CCCUAGUAACUGCGAGUGAGCGGGAAAAGCUCAAAUUUAAAAUCUGGUGGCCUUUGGUCAUCCGAGUUGUAAUUUAGAGAAGCGUCUUCCGCGCUGGACCGUGCACAAGUCUCCUGGAACGGAGCGUCAUAGAGGGUGAGAAUCCCGUCUUUGGCACGGACAUGCCAGGGCUUUUGUGAUGCGCUCUCGAAGAGUCGAGUUGUUUGGGAAUGCAGCUCAAAAUGGGUGGUGAACUCCAUCUAAAGCUAAAUAUUGGCGAGAGACCGAUAGCGAACAAGUACCGUGAGGGAAAGAUGAAAAGCACUUUGGAAAGAGAGUGAAACAGUACGUGAAAUUGUUGAAAGGGAAACGCUUGAAGUCAGUCGCGUCGACCGAGACUCAGCCUUGCCUUGGCUUGGUGUACUUCUCGGCUGACGGGUCAGCAUCAAUUUUGCCCCUUGGAUAAUGGCGAGGGAAAUGUGACACCUUUACGGUGUGUUAUAGUCUCUUGUCGCAUGCAAGGGUUGGGAUUGAGGAACUCAGCACGCGCCUUUGGGUGUCGGGGUAUUCGCCCACGAUACGUGCUUAGGAUGUUGGCGUAAUGGCUUUAAACGACCCGUCUUGAAACACGGACCAAGGAGUCUAACAUGCCUGCGAGUGUUCGGGUGGAAAACCCGUGCGCGCAAUGAAAGUGAAAGUUGGGACCUCUGUCGUGGAGGGCACCGACGCCCGGACCAGACCUUUUGUGACGGCUCUGCGGUAAAGCAUGUAUGUUAGGACCCGAAAGAUGGUGAACUAUGCCUGAAUAGGGUGAAGCCAGAGGAAACUCUGGUGGAGGCUCGUAGCGAUUCUGACGUGCAAAUCGAUCGUCAAAUUUGGGUAUAGGGGCGAAAGACUAAUCGAACAUCUAGUA
This 892-nucleotide ribosomal RNA is filed under the name Russula cf. murrillii. Its description in RNAcentral is "LSU rRNA". It matches the Rfam family "Eukaryotic large subunit ribosomal RNA", at positions 78 to 949 of the family's 3401-position model. Lineage: Eukaryota; Fungi; Basidiomycota; Agaricomycetes; Russulales; Russulaceae. The record is from RNAcentral.